GAUGAGAAGCUUCAACCAAGGUUCGACUUGAGCGCCAGCGAGAGAGCGUUGCCGCAGGCAACGACCCGAAGGGCGAAGCGCGCAGCGCUGAGUAAUCCUUCCCCCACCACCA
This 112-nucleotide small RNA is filed under the name Escherichia coli. Its description in RNAcentral is "partial RtT sRNA". It matches the Rfam family "RtT RNA", at positions 21 to 130 of the family's 130-position model. From Rfam's summary of the family: This family represents a bacterial cis-regulatory element known as RtT RNA. The exact function of RtT is unknown although it is thought that it may be involved in changing the cellular response in relation to amino acid starvation. The record is from RNAcentral. Lineage: Bacteria; Pseudomonadati; Pseudomonadota; Gammaproteobacteria; Enterobacterales; Enterobacteriaceae.